Molecule: ribosomal RNA, 497 nt
Filed under: uncultured bacterium
Lineage: Bacteria
Description: partial 16S ribosomal RNA
Rfam family: Bacterial small subunit ribosomal RNA
Source: RNAcentral
GAUGAACGCUGGCGGCGUGCCUAAUACAUGCAAGUCGAGCGAACAGACGAGGAGCUUGCUCCUCUGACGUUAGCGGCGGACGGGUGAGUAACACGUGGAUAACCUACCUAUAAGACUGGGAUAACUUCGGGAAACCGGAGCUAAUACCGGAUAAUAUAUUGAACCGCAUGGUUCAAUAGUGAAAGACGGUUUUGCUGUCACUUAUAGAUGGAUCCGCGCCGCAUUAGCUAGUUGGUAAGGUAACGGCUUACCAAGGCGACGAUGCGUAGCCGACCUGAGCGGGUGAUCGGCCACACUGGAACUGAGACACGGUCCACACUCCUACGAGAGGCAGCAGUAGGGUAUCUUCCGCAAUGGGCGAAAGCCUGACGGAGCAACGCCGCGUGAGUGAUGAAGGUCGUCGGAUCGUAAAACUCUGUUAUUAGGGAAGAACAAAUGUGUAAGUAACUAUGCACGUCUUGACGGUACCUAAUCAGAAAGCCACGGCUAACUACGUG